This 891-nucleotide ribosomal RNA is filed under the name uncultured bacterium. Its description in RNAcentral is "bacterial SSU rRNA". It matches the Rfam family "Bacterial small subunit ribosomal RNA", at positions 505 to 1398 of the family's 1533-position model. The record is from RNAcentral.
GUGUCAGCAGCCCGCGGUAAUACGGAGGGUGCAAGCGUUAAUCGGAAUUACUGGGCGUAAAGCGCGCGUAGGCGGCUUUUUAAGUCGGAUGUGAAAGCCCCGGGCUCAACCUGGGAACUGCACCCGAUACUGGAAGGCUAGAGUGCGAGAGAGGGAGGUAGAAUUCCAUGUGUAGCGGUGAAAUGCGUAGAUAUAUGGAGGAAUACCAGUGGCGAAGGCGGCCUCCUGGCUCGACACUGACGCUGUGGUGCGAAAGCGUGGGGAGCAAACAGGAUUAGAUACCCUGGUAGUCCACGCCGUAAACGAUGUCUACUAGCUGUUGGGGUACUUGAGACCUUGGUAGCGCAGCUAACGCAAUAAGUAGACCGCCUGGGGAGUACGGCCGCAAGGUUAAAACUCAAAUGAAUUGACGGGGGCCCGCACAAGCGGUGGAGCAUGUGGUUUAAUUCGAUGCAACGCGAAGAACCUUACCAGGCCUUGACAUCCUCGGAACUUUCCAGAAAUGGAUUGGUGCCUUCGGGAACCGAGUGACAGGUGCUGCAUGGCUGUCGUCAGCUCGUGUCGUGAGAUGUUGGGUUAAGUCCCGUAACGAGCGCAACCCCUAUCGUUAGUUGCCAGCAUUUAGUUGGGCACUCUAGCGAGACUGCCGGUGAUAAGCCGGAGGAAGGCGGGGAUGACGUCAAGUCCUCAUGGCCCUUAUGGGCUGGGCUACACACGUGCUACAAUGGCAGUGACAGAGGGACGCUACUUCGCGAGAAGAUGCAAAUCUCAAAAAGCUGUCUCAGUUCGGAUUGUUGUCUGCAACUCGACAACAUGAAGUCGGAAUCGCUAGUAAUCGCGUAUCAGCUCGACGCGGUGAAUACGUUCCCGGGCCUUGCACACACGCCCGUC